UGGGGAAUAUUGGCCAAUGAGCGAAAGCCUGAUCCAGCCAUGCCGCGUGUGUGAAGAAGGUCUUCGGAUUGUAAAGCACUUUAAGUUGGGAGGAAGGGCAUUAACCUAAUACGUUAGUGUUUUGACGUUACCGACAGAAUAAGCACCGGCUAACUCUGUGCCAGCAGCCGCGGUAAUACAGAGGGUGCAAGCGUUAAUCGGAAUUACUGGGCGUAAAGCGCGCGUAGGUGGUUUGUUAAGUUGGAUGUGAAAUCCCCGGGCUCAACCUGGGAACUGCAUUCAAAACUGACUGACUAGAGUAUGGUAGAGGGUGGUGGAAUUUCCUGUGUAGCGGUGAAAUGCGUAGAUAUAGGAAGGAACACCAGUGGCGAAGGCGACCACCUGGACUAAUACUGACACUGAGGUGCGAAAGCGUGGGGAGCAAACA
RNAcentral lists this ribosomal RNA (427 nucleotides) under uncultured bacterium. RNAcentral's name for it is "partial 16S ribosomal RNA". It matches the Rfam family "Bacterial small subunit ribosomal RNA", at positions 355 to 774 of the family's 1533-position model. The record is from RNAcentral.